Molecule: transfer RNA, 28 nt
Filed under: Anolis brevirostris deserticola
Lineage: Eukaryota; Metazoa; Chordata; Lepidosauria; Squamata; Anolidae
Description: partial tRNA-Asx
Source: RNAcentral
UUCGUGGGAUCAAGGCCCGCCUAUUCAU